Molecule: long non-coding RNA, 1895 nt
Filed under: Marmota monax (woodchuck)
Lineage: Eukaryota; Metazoa; Chordata; Mammalia; Rodentia; Sciuridae
Source: RNAcentral
CACCUGCAUCCCUUUCUCCCAGAAGAAAGUCAGAGGUCACUGAUGCUCCUCCAGAAACUGGAAGUUGUAGGGGAAGAGAAUGGUCUGGUAAUGUGGCUGUCCAGAGGAGCAGGCUCAUUUCUACCCUUGUUACCUGUCUAGGAGUAUGUUUGUGUGUGUGUCUGUGUGUGUACGUGCUCAUGUACACUUCUCACCCAGGGAAGAGGGUGAGGUUGAGUAUCUAAUUUUCCAAGACUCAAUUUUGGAAGGAGAGGUGGCAGGGUCUGGUGACCUUCUGCAUAUCAAGCUUCCCUAGAAUUCUCCAUGGGGCGGUGUAGGGAGGGUUGAGUCCCUCAUAUACCCUAGGGAGCUGGCUGUUGAAGGGAAAAGCAAAAGGAGUUUGUGUUGAAUUAGGUGGACUGAGAGUGGGUGCCACCUGGAAGCCCUAGCUCACCCCAGAGGGUGCUGAAAGGGGCUUCCACACACAAGAGGGUCUCAGUCCUGGACUAGGUCCUUGAAUAAAGAGCACAUGAGCUUUCCCUUCUCAGUGUCUAAGAAGAGACACCACUGAUGCCCUCAGAGGACCCCUAUUCUGAUGGGAAGCUCCUGUCUUGAAAGCCCCUAUUCUAAUGGGGGAAUACAUGACCUCUCUCCCAUCUGAUAUGGGGAGAUAAGACCCAUGUAGGGAAUCAGUGAAGUCUGAAAAAUUCUUUAUUGCCCACUGAUUGGAGAAGGGUGAGUUUAGAAACUAUGUAGAAAAAUAGACAGGAGAACUACUAUGACAGCUUUCUGGAAGAGGGGACAGCUGGGCCCUAGUGUCAGAUAAGACUUUGUGAUCCAGUGUGAGAAUUUGGUUUAUUCUUUAGGGUAGCCUCCCUUCUCAUCUGACCCCUCAGGGCAGGAAGAACCAUUCUAGAUCUUGGCUACUAUUAAUCCCCAGAGUUCAAGAAUGUUGGGAAGGUUCUUGGAGGCCCUGCAUCACCAACCCCUCCCCUACCUGCUCAGCCCCAGGUAUCCAUGGUGUCUGGGGUGGAGGUGGUUUUAAUAUGGUUUUAAUACUUCCCCUAAUCCCAGGCUGUGUAUACCAGCUCUCCUGUCUCUACCCUGUCCCUUCCCCUAGGGGGUGUUUUUUCCUCAGGAGUACCCCAGGAAUUUCAGGCCAUCCCUCAAGAUAGCGCUAAGAACCGGGCAUGGGUCAAGGCAGAGUUCUGCUUCUUAUCUUCUGCAUCUCAAGUUUUCACAUCUGAAAAGUGGGGAUACUAAGAUCUCAAGCCUGGCUGGCUCACAGUGAGACCAUUAGAAACAGAGGAGGAGGGGCAGAAGGUAUGUGCUCCAGCUUCUGCACAUCUGUCAAGGACAUGGUGUAAUCCAGUGCCCUGCCCUUUUCUAAGGGACCUGAGUGUUAGAAGUAACUGAAGAUCAUGUCUUACUUAUGCAGUGUUCCUGCCUUAAACCAUCAGUGACUCCCAGGCUUCCUCCUUGUCUUCUCAUCAGUAUUCCCCUACAUCUGCUAGGAAAACCUGUCCAAAUGCUUUCACCUGCUAUAUCCGGCUUCCCUACCUGCCAUCCCUUCCUGCUUCCCACCAAAUAAGCAAACAAGAACAAAAUAACGUGGUCCAUCCACACUCCUUCCCGGAACAUACUUGAUGCUCUGAGCAUUGGCUGUCCACUGUUCUGCUGUGAGUACUCCUCAUACCCUCCUGCAUCUGUGCGUCUGUCAAGAACAGGGAGAACUGUGAGUCUGCCUAGAACAGUGGCCCUGCUGAUGGUGCCAGUUUCCUGAAUAGCUCAUGUUCAGAAAGGCAGGUGGUGAGAGCCCCAGUGGACGGUGGGGAGGGGGGAAGCAGGAUUGGAUGGUGGAUGGAAGACGGAUACAGAACUGAUAGUUGCAAAGAUGGGUGGGUGGAUGGAUUGAG